Molecule: transfer RNA, 73 nt
Rfam family: tRNA
About the family: Transfer RNA (tRNA) molecules are approximately 80 nucleotides in length. Their secondary structure includes four short double-helical elements and three loops (D, anti-codon, and T loops). Further hydrogen bonds mediate the characteristic L-shaped molecular structure. tRNAs have two regions of fundamental functional importance: the anti-codon, which is responsible for specific mRNA codon recognition, and the 3' end, to which the tRNAs corresponding amino acid is attached (by aminoacyl-tRNA synthetases). tRNAs cope with the degeneracy of the genetic code in two manners: having more than one tRNA (with a specific anti-codon) for a particular amino acid; and 'wobble' base-pairing, i.e. permitting non-standard base-pairing at the 3rd anti-codon position.
GGGGGAGUAGCUCACUUGGUAGAGCGGUCGCUUCGCAUGCGACAGGCACCGGGAUCGAUACCCGGCUUCUCCA